This 494-nucleotide ribosomal RNA is filed under the name uncultured Streptococcus sp. Its description in RNAcentral is "partial 16S ribosomal RNA". The record is from RNAcentral. Lineage: Bacteria; Bacillati; Bacillota; Bacilli; Lactobacillales; Streptococcaceae.
CACGUAGUUAGCCGUCCCUUUCUGGUAAGAUACCGUCACAGUGUGAACUUUCCACUCUCACACCCGUUCUUCUCUUACAACAGAGCUUUACGAUCCGAAAACCUUCUUCACUCACGCGGCGUUGCUCGGUCAGACUUCCGUCCAUUGCCGAAGAUUCCCUACUGCUGCCUCCCGUAGGAGUCUGGGCCGUGUCUCAGUCCCAGUGUGGCCGAUCACCCUCUCAGGUCGGCUAUGUAUCGUCGCCUUGGUGAGCCGUUACCCCACCAACUAGCUAAUACAACGCAGGUCCAUCUGGUAGUGAUGCAAUUGCACCUUUUAAGCAAAUGUCAUGCAACAUCUACUAUUAUGCGGUAUUAGCUAUCGUUUCCAAUAGUUAUCCCCCGCUACCAGGCAGGUUACCUACGCGUUACUCACCCGUUCGCAACUCAUCCGGAGAAGCAAGCUCCUCCUUCAGCGUUCUACUUGCAUGUAUUAGGCACGCCGCCAGCGUUCGU